AACGAACGCUGGCGGCGCGUUUUAAGCAUGCAAGUCGAGCGGUAAGGUCCUUCGGGAUCCUAGAGCGGCGGACGGGUGAGUAACACGUGGAUAAUCUGCCUUCCAGUUUGGGAUAGCACAUGGAAACAUGUGAUAAUACCGAAUGAGAUACGACAUACACAGGUAAGUGGUAGGAAAGCUCCUGCGGGAGCGCUGGAAGAUGAGUCCGCGGCCCAUUAGCUAGUUGGCGGGGUAAAGGCCCACCAAGGCGACGAUGGGUAGCCGGCCUGAGAGGGUGGACGGCCACAUUGGGGACUGAGACACGGGCCCAGACUCCUACGGGAGGCAGCAGCUAAGAAUCUUCCACAAUGGACAAAGUCUGAUGGAGCGACGCCGCGUGAACGAUGAAGGCCGUAAGGUUGUAAAGUUCUUUUUGGG
This 417-nucleotide ribosomal RNA is filed under the name uncultured bacterium. Its description in RNAcentral is "bacterial SSU rRNA". It matches the Rfam family "Bacterial small subunit ribosomal RNA", at positions 29 to 441 of the family's 1533-position model. The record is from RNAcentral.